RNAcentral lists this ribosomal RNA (301 nucleotides) under uncultured bacterium. RNAcentral's name for it is "partial 16S ribosomal RNA". It matches the Rfam family "Bacterial small subunit ribosomal RNA", at positions 509 to 807 of the family's 1533-position model. The record is from RNAcentral.
CAGUCGCCGCGGUAAUACGGAGGGUGCAAGCGUUAAUCGGAAUUACUGGGCGUAAAGCGCACGCAGGCGGUUUGUUAAGUCAGAUGUGAAAUCCCCGAGCUUAACUUGGGAACUGCAUUUGAAACUGGCAAGCUAGAGUCUUGUAGAGGGGGGUAGAAUUCCAGGUGUGGCGGUGAAAUGCGUAGAGAUCUGGAGGAAUACCGGUGGCGAAGGCGGCCCCCUGGACAAAGACUGACGCUCAGGUGCGAAAGCGUGGGGAGCAAACAGGAUUAGAUACCCCUGUAGUCCCUGUCUCUUAUAC